RNAcentral lists this long non-coding RNA (1909 nucleotides) under Homo sapiens (human). RNAcentral's name for it is "HSALNT0241633". Lineage: Eukaryota; Metazoa; Chordata; Mammalia; Primates; Hominidae. The record is from RNAcentral.
GGCAGCUGUGGCCAGUGCAUACUGCCAUGCCUGUAAAGUGCCUACUGCACAGCCCAGGACAUAGAAAGAUGGUAACUGAGGUUUUGUUGUGGUUGUUCACUAGCAUUGCAUAGGACCCAGGUCUGAUCCCUUCAUUCAGCUGGUGUGAUUGUGAGUCAAGGAUCUGAUAUCCCCAAAGAAAGGACUGCAAGUAUUUGCCAGUCAGACUUUAUUUGUUACAAGAUACGAUAUUGCACAUGUAUUCCUGUGUUCUUCAUCAGAAGACCUGAAUUCAAAUCUCCAGUUCAUUACCUAUUAGGACUUGCUCACUCCCUCUUUCUCUCCCAGCCUCAGUGUCCUCGUAGGGGAAAUGGGAAUGCUAAUAAUGGCCUACUUCACAGAACUGUGGUGAAGACAAAGCCAAUCAAGCAUGUGGAUCAGUGAGUAUGCGCAGGGCUGCAAGGGCCAGAAAUCCCAGGAUCUUACUGCUGGGGUUAGAUACUGAUCUAAGGAGCUUAAGUAGUAAGAACUGUGGAUGUGGGGCAGCCUGCAGAGCUGGUUGAUUUAGGGCUCGGUGACAUCAUCAAGGCUGGGCUUGGGACUGCCUGGGUUCCCUGAGAGGCGUGGAACCAUGGUGGGAAGAUGUAGGAAAGAUGAGGAUGAUGAUUGACAGAUCAGUCUGGAAUUGUUGCCUGCUAAAGUUCAUUCAUCCAUUCUUUCGAUAGCUACGAACUGAGCACCCACCAGGUGCCAGUCACGGGACUGGGCCUUGGAGAACAGACGUGACCCACCUGCAUUGUGAUCCACUGCUGUGUAACAAAUCACCACAAAACAUAGGGGCUGACGGCAAUAGCUCUCAGUUGCUACACCUCACAGCCUCUGAGCAUAAGAACUGGGGACCAGGCGUGGCUGGGAUAGCUGUCUCUGCUCAGCGAUGUCUGGGGCCUCAGAUGGAAGAUUUGAAGGCUGGGAGGAGAAUCAUCUGAAGGUUCACUGAUGUGGCUGGCACACAGUGUCGCUGGGCACACAAUGUCGCUGAGCCCUGGACUGGGGCUAUCCUCUGGAACACCUGCACACGGCUUCUCCAUGGGACCAGGGCUUCCUCAGGGCAUGAUGACUGAGUUCCAAGAAAAAUUCUUAUAGUGGGUGGAUGUCAUUUAUCUACCCAGCAUCUCGUCUUUGGACUACAAAUCCUUAUCCCCUUCUGCUGGUGCCAUUGUCUCUCCUUCCUGUGGAAAACCUGUGCCACGGGACUCAGCGAGGGCUGCCUCCUCCAGCAGGGUCAGCGCCUGAAGCAGGCCUGGUCCAUGCAGGACUGGGUCAGCAGCCCAAAGCAGUCGGUUUGGGGUGACCACAUGACUGCGCGGUGGGCCGAUCAGAAUCUUCCCUGGAAUUCCCAUAGACACUGCUGGUUUCCUGACCAACAUCCAUUCCUCCCCUAUUCUCACUAGCUACACGCCACUUUUGUUGAUCUAGCAAGAAGUCCAGUUGAAGAUAUUUGUGCCUCUAGACUUUCUUGCAGGUAGGGGUCAGGUCACCCAAUUCUGGUCAAUAAGAUAUGGGCAGAAGUUGCUGGGAGAGACUUCUGGGAAAGGGUUUCAAAAGGAACAUGGCUCCUUUAGUCCACUCUUAACUGAUGGCUGAGAUGGAGACAUCUUAACCUGAAGGCUUUUAUUCCAGCUAUGUGAGAGGCCACCUGAGAAUAAAGUGAUCCGAGAAGAAAGCAAAACAGAGAGAGAGACAGAGAAAGAGAUGGCAAUAUCAGUUAAGUCCCUGGAUUGAGCCAUGCCUGAAGCCUCAGAACUUCCCAAUUUGGAGAGCCAAUCAAUAAAUCCUUUUCCUACUUAAGCUGGUUUGCACUGGAUCUCCAUCUCUUUCAGUGAAAGACCCCUCAGUGCAAACCUCCACAAAACCAAACCCAUGUCUUUCC